GUACGGGAGGCAGCAGUGGGGAAUCUUGCACAAUGGGGGCAACCCUGAUGCAGCGACGCCGCGUGAGCGAUGAAGCCCUUCGGGGUGUAAAGCUCUUUCGGCUGGAACGAUGAUGACGGUACCAGCAGAAGAAGCUGCGGCUAACUACGUGCCAGCAGCCGCGGUAAUACGUAGGCAGCGAGCGUUGUUCGGAGUUACUGGGCGUAAAGAGUGCGUAGGCGGUGACCUAAGUCUGGUGUGAAAUCUCCCGGCUCAACUGGGAGGGUGCGCCGGAAACUGGGUUGCUUGAGUGUGGGAGAGGCUAGCGGAAUUCCUGGUGUAGCGGUGAAAUGCGUAGAGAUCAGGAGGAACACCUGCGGUGUAGACGGCUGGCUGGACCACGACUGACGCUGAGGCACGAAAGCGUGGGGAGCAAACAGGAUUAGAUACCCCGGU
Molecule: ribosomal RNA, 435 nt
Filed under: uncultured bacterium
Lineage: Bacteria
Description: bacterial SSU rRNA
Rfam family: Bacterial small subunit ribosomal RNA
Source: RNAcentral